Molecule: unclassified non-coding RNA, 216 nt
Filed under: fungal sp.
Lineage: Eukaryota; Fungi
Also listed under: 1 other name
Description: partial contains small subunit ribosomal RNA, internal transcribed spacer 1, and 5.8S ribosomal RNA
Rfam family: Eukaryotic small subunit ribosomal RNA (bases 1-46)
Source: RNAcentral
AAGUCGUAACAAGGUUUCCGUAGGUGAACCUGCGGAAGGAUCAUUACCUAGAGUUGCGGGCUUUGCCUGCCAUCUCUUACCCAUGUCUUUUGAGUACCUUCGUUUCCUCGGUGGGUUCGCCCGCCGGUUGGACAACACUUAAACCCUUUGUAAUUGAAAUCAGCGUCUGAAAAAACUUAAUAGUUACAACUUUCAACAACGGAUCUCUUGGUUCUG